Molecule: ribosomal RNA, 584 nt
Filed under: Epicoccum sorghinum
Lineage: Eukaryota; Fungi; Ascomycota; Dothideomycetes; Pleosporales; Didymellaceae
Description: partial large subunit ribosomal RNA
Rfam family: Eukaryotic large subunit ribosomal RNA
Source: RNAcentral
CGGCGAGUGAAGCGGCAACAGCUCAAAUUUGAAAUCUGGCGUCUUCGGCGUCCGAGUUGUAAUUUGCAGAGGGCGCUUUGGCAUUGGCAGCGGUCCAAGUUCCUUGGAACAGGACGUCACAGAGGGUGAGAAUCCCGUACGUGGUCGCUAGCCUUUACCGUGUAAAGCCCCUUCGACGAGUCGAGUUGUUUGGGAAUGCAGCUCUAAAUGGGAGGUAAAUUUCUUCUAAAGCUAAAUACUGGCCAGAGACCGAUAGCGCACAAGUAGAGUGAUCGAAAGAUGAAAAGCACUUUGGAAAGAGAGUUAAAAAGCACGUGAAAUUGUUGAAAGGGAAGCGCUUGCAGCCAGACUUGCCUGUAGUUGCUCAUCCGGGUUUCUACCCGGUGCACUCUUCUACGGGCAGGCCAGCAUCAGUUUGGGCGGUUGGAUAAAGGUCUCUGUCAUGUACCUCCUUUCGGGGAGAACUUAUAGGGGAGACGACAUGCAACCAGCCCGGACUGAGGUCCGCGCAUCUGCUAGGAUGCUGGCGUAAUGGCUGUAAGCGGCCCGUCUUGAAACACGGACCAAGGAGUCUAACAUCUAUG